CUUGGUCAUUUAGAGGAAGUAAAAGUCGUAACAAGGUCUCCGUUGGUGAACCAGCGGAGGGAUCAUUACCGAGUUUACAACUCCCAAACCCCUGUGAACAUACCACUUGUUGCCUCGGCGGAUCAGCCCGCUCCCGGUAAAACGGGACGGCCCGCCAGAGGACCCCUAAAACUCUGUUUCUAUAUGUAACUUCUGAGUAAAACCAUAAAUAAAUCAAAACUUUCAACAACGGAUCUCUUGGUUCUGGCAUCGAUGAAGAACGCAGCGAAAUGCGAUAAGUAAUGUGAAUUGCAGAAUUCAGUGAAUCAUCGAAUCUUUGAACGCACAUUGCGCCCGCCAGUAUUCUGGCGGGCAUGCCUGUCCGAGCGUCAUUUCAACCCUCGAACCCCUCCGGGGGAUCGGCGUUGGGGAUCGGGACCCCUCACACGGGUGCCGGCCCCGAAAUACAGUGGCGGUCUCGCCGCAGCCUCUCCUGCGCAGUAGUUUGCACAACUCGCACCGGGAGCGCGGCGCGUCCACGUCCGUAAAACACCCAACUUUCUGAAAUGUUGACCUCGGAUCAGGUAGGAAUACCCGCUGAACUUAAGCAUAUCAAUAAGCGGAGGA
RNAcentral lists this ribosomal RNA (606 nucleotides) under uncultured fungus. RNAcentral describes it as "eukaryotic LSU rRNA". The stretch from base 218 to 371 matches the Rfam family "5.8S ribosomal RNA". The record is from RNAcentral. Lineage: Eukaryota; Fungi.